UAACUCCGUGCCAGCAGCCGCGGUAAUACGGAGGGUGCAAGCGUUAAUCGGAAUUACUGGGCGUAAAGCGCACAAAGGCGGUCUGUCAAGUCGGAUGUGAAAUCCCCGGGCUCAACCUGGGAACUGCAUUCGAAACUGGCAGGCUGGAGUCUUGUAGAGGGGGGUAGAAUUCCAGGUGUAGCGGUGAAAUGCGUAGAGAUCUGGAGGAAUACCGGUGGCGAAGGCGGCCCCCUGGACAAAGACUGACGCUCAGGUGCGAA
Molecule: ribosomal RNA, 260 nt
Filed under: Klebsiella oxytoca
Lineage: Bacteria; Pseudomonadati; Pseudomonadota; Gammaproteobacteria; Enterobacterales; Enterobacteriaceae
Description: partial 16S ribosomal RNA
Rfam family: Bacterial small subunit ribosomal RNA
Source: RNAcentral